This 116-nucleotide ribozyme is filed under the name Aedes aegypti (yellow fever mosquito). RNAcentral's name for it is "drz-agam-1 ribozyme". It matches the Rfam family "drz-agam-1 ribozyme". The record is from Rfam by way of RNAcentral. Lineage: Eukaryota; Metazoa; Arthropoda; Insecta; Diptera; Culicidae.
UGCCCAGCAACUCAUACCCCUACCCCCUCACGGUCCUGGCCGGGGUACGAGUAACCUUAGGGAAGAUCGGGUAGCCAACCCCGGUGGGAACUCUGGUCGUAUGCUGACAGGGCAAG